Molecule: ribosomal RNA, 484 nt
Filed under: uncultured bacterium
Lineage: Bacteria
Description: partial 16S ribosomal RNA
Rfam family: Bacterial small subunit ribosomal RNA
Source: RNAcentral
AUUGAACGCUGGCGGCAGGCCUAACACAUGCAAGUCGAGCGGAUGAAGGGAGCUUGCUCCUGGAUUCAGCGGCGGACGGGUGAGUAAUGCCUAGGAAUCUGCCUGGUAGUGGGGGAUAACGUCCGGAAACGGGCGCUAAUACCGCAUACGUCCUGCGGGUGAAAGUGGGGGAUCUUCGGACCUCACGCUAUCAGAGGAGCCUAGGUCGGAUUAGCUAGUUGGUGGGGUAAAGGCCUACCAAGGCGACGAUCCGUAACUGGUCUGAGAGGAUGAUCAGUCACACUGGAACUGAGACACGGUCCAGACUCCUACGGGAGGCAGCAGUGGGGAAUAUUGGACAAUGGGCGAAAGCCUGAUCCAGCCAUGCCGCGUGUGUGAAGAAGGUCUUCAGAUUGUAAAGCACUUUAAGUUGGGAGGAAGCGCAGUAAGUUAAUACCUUGCUGUUUUGACGUUACCAACAGAAUAAGCACCGGCUAACUUCGUG